AUGAAUAUUGCCCUCCUCUCCAAAUGGCUUUGGCGAAUUCAGACUGAUGAGGGUGGCCUGUGGCUGGAGAUUAUCCGCGCGAAGUACCUUCGCGGGCACCCGCUGGCCUUCGCCCCUAGAUCCGGAGGGUCCCAAUUCUGGCAAUCGGUUAUCCAUCUGAUGCCGGUCUUGCGCAUUGGGACCUCCAUUAGAGUGGGCACCGGGUCCGGCACCCUAUUCGGGCUUGAUAGGUGGGCCGGGACCCGUCCCUCUGCGAAACGCUUUUAUGCGUUAUUCUCGAUCUGUGUCCGCCCACAACUUUCUAUGGCUGUGGCUUUAGCUAACUUGGGUGCUAUUGCCUUCCGCCGUACCUUCGGGAUGGUGGAGCUCGAGCAAUGGAUGAAUUACUCGAGUGCAUUGCCCUCCACUCCCCCUCCCUUGAGCCCGAUUCGCUAUCUUGGCAUCUCGAACCAAGCGGCAGAUUCUCGACUAGGUCCCUAUACCAGGCAUUGUUCCCACCCCUGGCCCGAUGGAACUAUCGGUGCUUUAGGAGAUCAAACUCCCCUUGAAAAUCCACAUAUUUCUCUGGCAAUGGGUCCGAGGUCGCCUCCCUUCGGGAACGGAGGUCCAAAAACGUAA
Molecule: ribosomal RNA, 618 nt
Filed under: Triticum aestivum (bread wheat)
Lineage: Eukaryota; Viridiplantae; Streptophyta; Magnoliopsida; Poales; Poaceae
Description: partial small subunit ribosomal RNA
Source: RNAcentral